CGUUGACCGAGGGGGCCCCAGCGGCCUUCCCUUCGGUGUAAACCUGCUCUUGUUGCAACAAAACAGGGCUAUUGUGGCAACGCUAAUCUGGGGAUUUUGAUUCUUCUGUCGCAUGAUCAGCAAAUGACCCCCCACUUGGACGCCUGUGGUUCUUUGGACCCCACUUGGAAUUGUAGCUGUCAUGUCACCAUCCAGUUUGUUGUGAGCGACGACCGCUAUCUAGUGGCUCUCAUGAGGUCCUUUGUGAUGUUUUCCUCAAGAGCAUCAAGGCAAACCGUAGAAGGACCCUGGAGUCCGAGGGUUCAAAGUUCACGCUCGGGAGGAAAAACUGUUCUGACGUGCCAUUUGUAAUGACUACCAGUCUGGCCUACUUGUGAUGUGAGGUAAAGGACAAGAAAAGCUGGCACAGAGGAGUCUCGGUUCAAUCUGAUGAAACUAUAAAAGGAAUGUUUGAAAUGAUUUCUCGUGGACUGGUGUUGACACACCAUGACUUCAGUCAGACGUGGAGGGAGGAGUUGAUGUUUCAAUCUGCUUGAAGUUUAAAACAACAACGGUGUCCUAAGGAAAAGCAGGCUACGUUUCAGUGUUAUGAUGGCGAGGAAGGCUGCCAACCAGUGUAAAUGCUUUUCAGGCAUCUCAGAUUGGCAUGAUUUGCUGUGUCUACAUCUGCUCAAGGAGAUGUUGAGAAACAACCUGGACUCCCUCCAUCAUCCUUUCUUAACUGCAUUAGUAGCACAAAAAAAUAACAUAUUUUAGUAAUGCUGCUUUUAAACGUAUCUGAGUAAAACUUCCAGAUGUGUUUUUUUAGACAAUUGAAUCCACCUUUUGUUUCUUUUCCCAUGAAGCUGCAAAAGCAAGAUGAUUAGACAUUUCUUAUGCAGAUGACUAGAUUAGAGAUUUGUAAUUCUGAUAAAUUGCUAUAAUGACCAACUAACAAGAUGUAUAAGAAAUUGAUUUUACAUCAAAUAAGGCUCAAAAUUUACAAAGGUUGACGUUCCAUAACUUGCAAUGUCAUGAAAAUAGCCCUCACUGGUAUUUAAAAAAAAAACAUUGAUUGAAACAUUACACAUUGUACACUGAUAGGGGGAGCAACCACAAUACAAAAUACGCAAAAUACAAAUUGCGAAAAUUUGACACCCGCCAAAAUGGUUUGGAAUUGCAUGUAGAUGUUUUUUAUAAAUUUUAUAUAUAUAUAUUUGCUGACCAUCCUUGCUCCGCCCCUCCCUCUCCCAUAUACAAACCCAUAAGGGAUAAAUUCCUAGCUCCGCCAUUGCUCUUUUUUAGACAAUUAAAGAACCCAGUUUUGUGAAGAAGUUAUGUUAAAUAUACAAAAUAUUAACGUAACCAGAAUAGUGUAACAACUGUGACCUGUGUUAUGUUCACAAAACAGAGGAAAAAUUAAAUAAUUAAAUCCCAUGUACAAUACCUCCUUGGGAUUCAAUUAUUUCCUACAGUUGCUUUAAAAAACAUCAAAUUUGCAAUAGAGGUUUUGAAGUCAAUGAGAGUGAGAGUGGUUUUUGAUGAAAAUAACAGCUA
Syngnathus acus (greater pipefish) is the source of this 1536-nucleotide long non-coding RNA. RefSeq lists it as uncharacterized. Lineage: Eukaryota; Metazoa; Chordata; Actinopteri; Syngnathiformes; Syngnathidae. The record is from RefSeq and is a predicted model, not a curated record. The transcript is spliced from 6 exons.